This 1627-nucleotide ribosomal RNA is filed under the name Guttera pucherani (Kenya guineafowl). RNAcentral describes it as "16S ribosomal RNA". It matches the Rfam family "Bacterial large subunit ribosomal RNA". Lineage: Eukaryota; Metazoa; Chordata; Aves; Galliformes; Numididae. The record is from RNAcentral.
UUUGCCCUCCCUCUAGCCCAACCAACCCCCUCGCACAAAUAUCAACAAGCUUACUUCCUCAACCCAACCAAAACAUUAUAACUAUAUCCUAGUAUAGGCGAUAGAAAAGACACCAUGGCGCAAUAGAGAUCAACCGUACCGUAAGGGAAAGAUGAAAUAACAGUGAAAACCCCAAGCAACAAAUAGUAAAGACUAAUCCUUGUACCUCUUGCAUCAUGAUUUAGCAAGAAUAUCCAAGCAAAGCGCACUAAAGUUUGCCUCCCCGAAACCCAAGCGAGCUACUUGCGAGCAGCUAAACAUUGAGCGAACCCGUCUCUGUCGCAAAAGAGUGGGACGACUCGCUAGUAGAGGUGAAAAGCCUACCGAGCUGGGUGAUAGCUGGUUACCUGCCAAACGAAUCUAAGUUCCCCCUCAGCCCCUUCUACCAGGACAUCUCACCUAACCCACCAACUGCACGACAGGGCUGAGAGCAACUCGAGGGGGGUACAGCUCCCUCGAAAAAGAACACAACCUCCCCUAGCGGAUAAUAACACACCCUACUCCCAUUCCGUGGGCUUUAAAGCAGCCAUCAACAAAAGAGUGCGUCAAAGCUCAUUCCCAUUAAAAAUCCGAAAUCCCCUUUGACUCCCUUACCCGUAGCAGGUUAACCUAUGACUAUAGGAGAAUUAAUGCUAAAAUAAGUAACUUGGGUCCCUACCCCCUCUACAGCGUAAACUUACAUUGGCCCACUAUUAACAAAUCCAACUUAUACCCCCACUGCAACAAGAACAUAUAUUUAACCCAACUUGUUAUACCAACUCAGGAACGCUUACAAGAAGAUCAAAAUCUGUAAAAGGAACUCGGCAAACCCAAAGACCCGACUGUUUCCCAAAAACAUAGCCUUCAGCAACCAACAAGUAUUGAAGGUGAUGCCUGCCCAGUGACUACAACGUUCAACGGCCGCGGUAUCCUAACCGUGCGAAGGUAGCGCAAUCAAUUGUCCCAUAAAUCGAGACUUGUAUGAACGGCUAAACGAGGUCUUAACUGUCUCCUGCAGAUGAUCAGUGAAAUUAGUAUUCUCGUGCAAAAACGAGAAUGUGAUCACAAGACGAGAAGACCCUGUGGAACUUCAAAAUCACGACCACCUCGACACUAACCUAAAUCCACUGGACUCACCAGCACAAAACACCUGGUCGACAUUUUUCGGUUGGGGCGACCUUGGAGAAAAACAAAUCCUCCAAACUACAGACCACAACUCUUCACCAAGACCUACCCCUCCAAGUACUAAUAGUAAUCAGACCCAAUACAAUUGACCAAUGGACCAAGCUACCCCAGGGAUAACAGCGCAAUCUCCUCCAAGAGCCCAUAUCGACAAGGAGGUUUACGACCUCGAUGUUGGAUCAGGACAACCUAAUGGUGCAGCCGCUAUUAAGGGUUCGUUUGUUCAACGAUUAACAGUCCUACGUGAUCUGAGUUCAGACCGGAGCAAUCCAGGUCGGUUUCUAUCUAUGAAUACACUCCUCCCAGUACGAAAGGACCGGAGAAGUGGGGUCAAUACUAUAAGCACACCCCCCCUUCUAAACAAUGAACUCAACUUAAUUGUCAAGAAGACUCCCAACACUUAUCCUAAACCCCUAGAAAAGGGCUA